UCCGUGACGCAGCUAACGCAUUAAGUUUCCCCGCCUGGGGAGUACGGCCGCAAGGCUAAAACUCAAAGGAAUUGACGGGGACCCGCACAAGCGGCGGAGCAUGCGGAUUAAUUCGAUGCAACGCGAAGAACCUUACCAAGGCUUGACAUACACCGGAAACGGCCAGAGAUGGUCGCCCCUUUAUGGUCGGUGUACAGGUGGUGCAUGGUUGUCGUCAGCUCGUGUCGUGAGAUGUUGGGUUAAGUCCCGCAACGAGCGCAACCCUCGUUCUAUGUUGCCAGCACGUUAUGGUGGGAACUCAUGGGAUACUGCCGGGGUCAACUCGGAGGAAGGUGGGGAUGACGUCAAAUCAUCAUGCCCCUUAUGUCUUGGGCUUCACGCAUGCUACAAUGGCCGGUACAAAGGGCUGCAAUACCGUGAGGUGGAGCGAAUCCCAAAAAGCCGGUCCCAGUUCGGAUUGAGGUCUGCAACUCGACCUCAUGAAGUCGGAGUCGCUAGUAAUCGCAGAUCAGCAACGCUGCGGUGAAUACGUUCCCGGGUCUUGUACACACCGCCCGUCAAGUCAUGAAAGUCGGUAACACCUGAAGCCGGUGGCCUAACCCCUUGUGGGAGGGAGCUGUCGAAGGUGGGAU
This 632-nucleotide ribosomal RNA is filed under the name Microbacterium sp. T213BY9. RNAcentral's name for it is "SSU rRNA". It matches the Rfam family "Bacterial small subunit ribosomal RNA", at positions 840 to 1468 of the family's 1533-position model. The record is from RNAcentral. Lineage: Bacteria; Bacillati; Actinomycetota; Actinomycetes; Micrococcales; Microbacteriaceae.